UAAUGAAUUAAAUUUUAAGCUUGAAUAAAAGUAGUUAUUUUCUUCAUAACUCAAAGGUUUUGGCGGUUAAGUUUAAUUUCUCAGAGGAACCUGUUCUUUAAUCGAUAAACCACGAUAGUUUAUACCUUAAUGUUGAUUUGUAUACCUCUAUGAUUUAGGAAUAUUUUAUAAGGAUAUUUUCUUUUUGGUGGAUACCUUUAAUUUUAGGUCAAGGUGCAGUUUUAUUAAGGUAAGUAUGGGUUACUUUAAUUUUAAAUAUUUAAAAAUUUUAUUACUUAUUUUUAGGAUUUGAAAGUAAUUUAAAUUAAUUAGUUUCUAUGAAUUUUUUUAUUUAAUGU
This 338-nucleotide ribosomal RNA is filed under the name Thelia bimaculata. RNAcentral's name for it is "partial 12S small subunit ribosomal RNA". The record is from RNAcentral. Lineage: Eukaryota; Metazoa; Arthropoda; Insecta; Hemiptera; Membracidae.